UCCCUGGUGGCUCAGACGGUAAAGCAUCUGCUUGCAAUGCGGGAGACCUGGGUUCAAUCCCUGGAUCGGGAA
This 72-nucleotide transfer RNA is filed under the name Bos taurus (domestic cattle). It matches the Rfam family "tRNA". Rfam says of the family: Transfer RNA (tRNA) molecules are approximately 80 nucleotides in length. Their secondary structure includes four short double-helical elements and three loops (D, anti-codon, and T loops). RNAcentral also lists the same sequence under 2 other names. The record is from Rfam by way of RNAcentral. Lineage: Eukaryota; Metazoa; Chordata; Mammalia; Artiodactyla; Bovidae.